AGAGUUUGAUCCUGGCUCAGGACGAACGCUGGCGGCGUGCUUAACACAUGCAAGUCGAGCGAACGUAGCAAUACGUUAGCGGCGGACGGGUGAGUAACGCGUGAGCAAUCUGCCUCUAUCAGCGGGAUAACACUUAGAAAUAGGUGCUAAUACCGCAUAAGACCACGAAGUCGCAUGACUUUGGGGUAAAAGCUCCGGCGGAUAGAGAUGAGCUCGCGUCCUAUUAGCUAGUUGGUGGGGUAACGGCCUACCAAGGCGACGAUAGGUAGCCGACCUGAGAGGGUGAUCGGCCACAUUGGAACUGAGAAACGGUCCAAACUCCUACGGGAGGCAGCAGUGGGGAAUAUUGGGCAAUGGGCGCAAGCCUGACCCAGCAACGCCGCGUGAAGGAUGAAGGUUUCGGAUUGUAAACUUCUGUCGCGAGGGACGAAGAAUGACGGUACCUCGUAAGAAAGCCCCGGCUAACUACGUG
Molecule: ribosomal RNA, 472 nt
Filed under: uncultured Eubacteriales bacterium
Lineage: Bacteria; Bacillati; Bacillota; Clostridia; Eubacteriales
Description: bacterial SSU rRNA
Rfam family: Bacterial small subunit ribosomal RNA
Source: RNAcentral